UUUUCAAAGCUGGGGACCGCAAGGCCUGGCGCUUCAUGAUGAGCCCGCGGCCUAUCAGCUAGUUGGUGAGGUAACGGCUCACCAAGGCUAAGACGGGUAGCUGGUCUGAGAGGACGACCAGCCACACUGGAACUGAGACACGGUCCAGACACCUACGGGUGGCAGCAGUCGAGAAUUUUUCACAAUGGGCGCAAGCCUGAUGGAGCGACGCCGCGUGGGGGAUGAAUGGCUUCGGCCCGUAAACCCCUGUCAUUUGCGAUCAACCGUUAUUGUUUAAGAGAUGAUAACCUGAUAGUAGCGAAAGAGGAAGGGACGGCUAACUCUGUGCCAGCAGCCGCGGUAAUACAGAGGUCCCAAGCGUUGUUCGGAUUCACUGGGCGUAAAGGGUGCGUAGGUGGCGAGGUAAGUCGGAUGUGAAAUCUCCAAGCUCAACCUGGAAAAUGCAUUGGAAACUACCUUGCUUGAGGGUUGGAGGGGGGACUGGAAUACUUGGUGUAGCAGUGGAAAUGCGUAGAUAUCAAGUGGAACACCAGUGGCGAAAGCGAGUCCCUAGACAACUCCUGACACUGAGGCACGAAAGCUAGGGGAGCAAACAGGAUUAGAUACCCUGGUAGUCCUAGCCGUAAACGGUGCACGUUUGCUGUAAAAGGAAUCGACCCCUUUUGUGGCGU
This 671-nucleotide ribosomal RNA is filed under the name uncultured bacterium. Its description in RNAcentral is "bacterial SSU rRNA". It matches the Rfam family "Bacterial small subunit ribosomal RNA", at positions 182 to 849 of the family's 1533-position model. The record is from RNAcentral.